AAACAGUACCUGGCAGAGGAGUAACCAUGAUCACUAAGAUGGUUACCCAAAGAAAUGUGCUUUCCCUGAUGAUCUCCCCAAAUGUCACAAACGUAGCUGCAUAUUUUUUGGUAGUGGGGCUCUGAGUUGUGCUCUCCUCUGUA
Molecule: small nuclear RNA, 143 nt
Organism: Rattus norvegicus (Norway rat)
Lineage: Eukaryota; Metazoa; Chordata; Mammalia; Rodentia; Muridae
Product: U1 spliceosomal RNA
Source: Ensembl